CAGUUGUCACUCUAUAAAUCCUUCUUACACCCCUAUCCUCAAUCCCUAAACAACUCGAAACCCUAAAAUAAGAAUCGGAAUUUGUCUCUCAUCAGAGAUGGAAGACGAAGUGAAAGCUAAACGCCCCUCAGUGGAUCCAAGCCCUUUCGCCCCAGUGUGGAAACAGGCUGGACAUGGUUGCCUUUAGGCAGCCUCCAUACAAUUACCUUGAACCAGAGAUGGAUGAGGAACAGGAAGAAGAGAUCGACGAACCAGAUUGCAUGUAUCGCAUGGAGGGAGGUCGCCUAGUUCUCGCAGGAAUUCUUCCUAAACCACCACCAUUGCCGCCAAGGAGACGGGACCAAGAUGAUGAUCAUCCUUUUGCUGUCACUUAUGAGAUGUUUUGCCCUGAAUUGAAAGGCGGAAAUGUUUACCUUAGCGAUCCUCUCUUUACAUCAAGGGUAUCCACCUUGGAGCAUCCAUACCCAUUCCUUGCAGCAUUUCCAUCAAGAUCAUGCUCUAACCUCACUGAAGAAGAAUUGAAUGCUGCAAGAGAUGCCGCUGCCGCUGCUGGAUCAUCCUCGCUGAUCAAGGGAAAUCCUGAAGCCGAUUCGUCAGCUCCUGUCGCUUCUGAUUCGUCAGCUGCUUCUGACAACAACUAAAUCUACUCGCUUGGUUUUUAAAAUGUCCUGGAGUAUGAUCACUUCGUACUUUUGACUUUUGUUCUGUUCUCGAUGGCCAUGAUAAGUAGCGUCGUACAAAGUUCAAGGUCCCAAAGCGCAUGCUACCAUGGGUGCCUGCGCAAUGCGGCGAGGAGACACGUUGCAUUCUGACACUCGUUUCUGGUAGUUUUCUUAUUCGUAUAAUAUUUAGGGUAACAUUAUUGUGGUAGAUAUAUGUCAUAAGUAUUAUACAUGUCUAGUAAUUAUUAAAUUUAGAAUUUAAAUAUCAAGUACUUUAUUAAUAAACCAUUGAUGCAAUAAAGUAACACACGACUAAGAAAAAAUAAGUCUUAAACAUAAAUAAAAGUUAUAUAAAGCAACAAACGUAUAAGGAAAUAUAAGUUUUAAAUAUAAAAAUUGAAAACUAAAAUCUCAAGUGUUAAGUACU
Helianthus annuus (common sunflower) is the source of this 1089-nucleotide RNA transcript. RefSeq lists it as uncharacterized. The record is from RefSeq and is a predicted model, not a curated record. The transcript is spliced from 8 exons. NCBI's taxonomy places the organism in Eukaryota, Viridiplantae, Streptophyta, Magnoliopsida, Asterales, Asteraceae.